AGGGUUGAUCGGAUGAUCGCUGUUUGUAGGGAUGAGAAUCCUUAACACAAAGAGAGGAAAGUCCGGGCUCCAUAGGGUAGUGAUGCUGGGUAACGCCCAGGAAGAAAUUUUCAGAAAUGAAAAUCUUCUUACGGAUAGUGCAACAGAAAGUAAACGUGGAAUAGCCUUUCGAGGGUCUAUUCCUCAUGGUGAAACGGUGAGGUAAGAGCUUACCAGUAAGAAGGGUGACCUUCUUAGCUAUGAAAACCCCAUCAGGAGCAAGACAGAAUAGGAAAACAGCUUGAGGUUACCCGUCUCAAUAACAUAUGUUUCUGUUUUCGGGUGUGUCGCAUGAGGGGAAGAGUAAUUUUCCUCCUAGAGAAAUGAUCGUCACUUCUUUAUAAAAAGAAGUACAAAACCCGGCUUAUAGAUUAACUCUGUGA
RNAcentral lists this RNase P RNA (422 nucleotides) under Deltaproteobacteria bacterium GWA2_38_16. Its description in RNAcentral is "RNase P RNA component class A". It matches the Rfam family "Bacterial RNase P class A". Rfam says of the family: Ribonuclease P (RNase P) is a ubiquitous endoribonuclease, found in archaea, bacteria and eukarya as well as chloroplasts and mitochondria. The record is from RNAcentral. RNAcentral also lists the same sequence under 4 other names. Lineage: Bacteria; Deltaproteobacteria.